CCAAUGUUGACAUCUAGGCUAUUUGACCUCGUGUCAGAUUUGGCCUGGCUCUGUCUGUGUGGCGUAUGGGAGCUGAAUGACCCUAUGGGGACUUGAGGUAUAUUCCCUUUCCACCACAUUGGAGAGAAACUCUGUCCCCCUACCGAGAGCCCCCCGGCCUUAGUAGGGUGUGGGCGAGGCCCUGUAUAUUCCAUCAACUUCCUGUAGUCACUAUGUGACAAUGGCAGGGUAGAGAGACCAUGCAGGGCACAAAA
Ylistrum balloti is the source of this 254-nucleotide small nucleolar RNA. RefSeq annotates it as small nucleolar RNA SNORA73 family. The record is from RefSeq and is a predicted model, not a curated record. Lineage: Eukaryota; Metazoa; Mollusca; Bivalvia; Pectinida; Pectinidae. The transcript has a single exon.